This 84-nucleotide transfer RNA is filed under the name Litoreibacter janthinus. RNAcentral describes it as "tRNA_Leu_CAA". It matches the Rfam family "tRNA". Rfam says of the family: Transfer RNA (tRNA) molecules are approximately 80 nucleotides in length. Their secondary structure includes four short double-helical elements and three loops (D, anti-codon, and T loops). The record is from RNAcentral. Lineage: Bacteria; Pseudomonadati; Pseudomonadota; Alphaproteobacteria; Rhodobacterales; Roseobacteraceae.
GCCCGAGUGGCGGAAUGGUAGACGCGACGGAUUCAAAAUCCGUUGCCGCGAGGCGUGUCGGUUCGAGUCCGACCUCGGGUACCA